Molecule: small nuclear RNA, 161 nt
Organism: Psammomys obesus (fat sand rat)
Lineage: Eukaryota; Metazoa; Chordata; Mammalia; Rodentia; Muridae
Product: U1 spliceosomal RNA
Exons: 1
Source: RefSeq, a predicted model, not a curated record
GUGGUUACCUGCCAGGAGCCAUACCAGGAUCAAGAAGGUGGUUUUCCCAGGAUGAGGCUCCUCACUGUUCUCAGGGAGCGCUGACCUGCGAUUUCCCAAAAUGCAGAAAACCUGACUGCGUAAUUUGUGGUAGUGGGGGACGGCGUUUGUGUUCUCUCCUA